UCGUUAGUUUUCCGUCUUUAUCCAUUCCGAUGCAUGCCCGCGGGCACCGGCCUUCUUCCCAUGCCUGAUCCACUACUCGCCACUCCCCGGAAUCCAGGUCAUAAACUUCGGCGCUGGCGUCGAACAUCCCCUGUCGCUCGGUGUCGUAGCCGCUAACAACCCAGAAUUCACGGCCGACCAUCAGACCUUCACACUCGUCCCUCCCCUGACUCAUUUGGGGCAACUCAGUCCACUCGUCGGUUCUCAGAUCGUAAACCCAUGCCGAUUUCAAGGCGUUUUUGCUCUCGUCGUGGCCACCGGAGAUGUAGACUCUUCCAUCGGAAGCACCAAUUGCAAAAAAGGAUCGCUUAGAUGGCAUAUCUUUCCCCUUCCUCCAGGCACCUUGGGUGAAAUCGUAAACAAAAACAUCAAUAAUCGGGUCGUAAGUUGCUGGAUCCCAGCCGCCCAUGAGCACCAGUUUUCCUUCGGUACUAGCUAUGUGACAGAACAGAGGAAGACCAUCUGGGUAUUGUGGAAUCGAAGGGAU
RNAcentral lists this long non-coding RNA (526 nucleotides) under Cucumis sativus (cucumber). Its description in RNAcentral is "long non-coding RNA (CSAT_LNC001570)". Lineage: Eukaryota; Viridiplantae; Streptophyta; Magnoliopsida; Cucurbitales; Cucurbitaceae. The record is from RNAcentral.